RNAcentral lists this ribosomal RNA (468 nucleotides) under uncultured bacterium. RNAcentral describes it as "partial 16S ribosomal RNA". It matches the Rfam family "Bacterial small subunit ribosomal RNA", at positions 28 to 507 of the family's 1533-position model. The record is from RNAcentral.
GACGAACGCUGGCGGCGUGCUUAACACAUGCAAGUCGAACGGAAAGGCCCUGCUUUUGUGGGGUGCUCGAGUGGCGAACGGGUGAGUAACACGUGAGUAACCUGCCCUUGACUUUGGGAUAACUUCAGGAAACUGGGGCUAAUACCGGAUAGGAGCUCCUGCUGCAUGGUGGGGGUUGGAAAGUUUCGGCGGUUGGGGAUGGACUCGCGGCUUAUCAGCUUGUUGGUGGGGUAGUGGCUUACCAAGGCUUUGACGGGUAGCCGGCCUGGGAGGGUGACCGGCCACAUUGGGACUGAGAUACGGCCCAGACUCCUACGGGAGGCAGCGGUGGGGAAUAUUGCACAAUGGGCGGAAGCCUGAUGCAGCAACGCCGCGUGCGGGAUGACGACCUUCGGGUUGUAAACCGCUGUCGCCUGUAACGAAGCGUGAGUGACGGUAAUGGGUAAAGAAGCACCGGCUAACUACGUG